UACAGAGGUCCCAAGCGUUGUUCGGAUUCACUGGGCGUAAAGCGUGCGCAGGCGGUUUCUUAAGUCAGAUGUGAAAGCCCCGGGCUUAACCUGGGAACUGCGUUUGAAACUGGGAGACUUGAGUGUGGCAGAGGGGGGUGGAAUUCCACGUGUAGCAGUGAAAUGCGUAGAUAUGUGGAGGAACACCGAUGGCGAAGGCAGCCCCCUGGGUUAACACUGACGCUCAUGCACGAAAGCGUGGGGAGCAAACAGG
RNAcentral lists this ribosomal RNA (253 nucleotides) under uncultured bacterium. RNAcentral's name for it is "partial 16S ribosomal RNA". It matches the Rfam family "Bacterial small subunit ribosomal RNA", at positions 524 to 776 of the family's 1533-position model. The record is from RNAcentral.